Molecule: ribosomal RNA, 661 nt
Filed under: uncultured fungus
Lineage: Eukaryota; Fungi
Description: eukaryotic LSU rRNA
Rfam family: Eukaryotic large subunit ribosomal RNA
Source: RNAcentral
CCCGCUGAACUUAAGCAUAUCAAUAAGCGGAGGAAAAGAAACUAACAAGGAUUCCCCUAGUAACGGCGAGUGAAGAGGGAAAAGCUCAAAUUUUGAAUCUGGUGUCUUUGACCCCCGAGUUGUAAUCUAGAGAAGUGUUUUCCGCUUUGGACCGUGUACAAGUCCCCUGGAACGGGGCGUCAUAGAGGGUGAGAAUCCCGUAUAUGCCACGGACUACCAAUGCUCUGUGAUACACUCUCAACGAGUCGAGUUGUUUGGGAAUGCAGCUCAAAAUGGGUGGUAAAUUCCAUCUAAAGCUAAAUAUUGGCGAGAGACCGAUAGCGAACAAGUACCGUGAGGGAAAGAUGAAAAGCACUUUGGAAAGAGAGUGAAACAGUACGUGAAAUUGUUGAAAGGGAAGCGUUUGAAGUCAAUCGUAUCUGUCGGAAUUCAGCCUGGCUUCUGCCUGGUGUACUUUCCGUCCGAUGGGUCAGCAUCAAUUUUGACCGAGGGAAAAAGACGUUCGGAAUGUGGCUGUCUUCGGGCAGUGUUAUAGCCUUGCGUUGUAUGUCUCGGUUGGGAUUGAGGAACGCAGCGCGCCUGUUGGCCGGGGGUUCGCGCCCCUCGGUACGCGCUUAGGAUGCUGGCAUAAUGGCUUUAAGCGACCCGUCUUGAAACACGG